RNAcentral lists this ribosomal RNA (390 nucleotides) under uncultured bacterium. RNAcentral's name for it is "bacterial SSU rRNA". It matches the Rfam family "Bacterial small subunit ribosomal RNA", at positions 976 to 1380 of the family's 1533-position model. The record is from RNAcentral.
UCGGCUUGACAUGCACGUGGUACCGACUCGUAAGGGAAGGGACCCGCAAGGGAGCGUGCACAGAUGCUGCAUGGCUGUCGUCAGCUCGUGCCGUGAGGUGUUGGGUUAAGUCCCGCAACGAGCGCAACCCUUGCCCUUAGUUGAAAUCUCUAGGGGGACCGCCGGUCUAAACCGGAGGAAGGUGGGGAUGACGUCAAGUCAGCACGGCUCUUACGUCGAGGGCUACACACACGCUACAAUGGCCGGUACAAAGGGCUGCGAAGGGGCGACCUGGAGCUAAUCCCAUCAAAGCCGGUCUCAGUUCGGAUCGCAGGCUGCAACUCGCCUGCGUGAAGUCGGAGUUGCUAGUAACUGCUGGUCAGCACACAGCAGUGAAUACGUUCCCGGGCC